This 253-nucleotide ribosomal RNA is filed under the name uncultured bacterium. RNAcentral describes it as "partial 16S ribosomal RNA". It matches the Rfam family "Bacterial small subunit ribosomal RNA", at positions 524 to 776 of the family's 1533-position model. The record is from RNAcentral.
UACAGAGGGGGCAAGCGUUCUUCGGAAUUAUUGGGCGUAAAGGGCGCGUAGGCGGUUUCUUAAGUCAGAUGUGUAAUCCCCGAGCUUAACUUGGGAACUGCAUCUGAGACUGGGAGGCUAGAGUACUGGAGAGGGUGGUGGAAGUCCUCGUGUAGCGGUGAAAUGCGUAGAGAUGAGGAGGAACACCAGUGGUGAAGGCGGCCACCUGGACAGUAACUGACGCUGAGGCGCGAAAGUGUGGGUAGCAAACAGG